GGGGCAGUGGUCUAGCAUGGCUAUGAUUCUCGCCCGGGGCGCGAGAGCUCGUGGGUUCGAAUCCCAUCUGCCCA
This 74-nucleotide transfer RNA is filed under the name Candidatus Helarchaeota archaeon. Its description in RNAcentral is "tRNA-Pro". It matches the Rfam family "tRNA". From Rfam's summary of the family: Transfer RNA (tRNA) molecules are approximately 80 nucleotides in length. Their secondary structure includes four short double-helical elements and three loops (D, anti-codon, and T loops). The record is from RNAcentral. Lineage: Archaea; Promethearchaeati; Candidatus Helarchaeota.